CUGGCUCAGGAUGAACGCUGGCGGCGUGCUUAACACAUGCAAGUCGAACGGACUCAUAUUGAAACCUAGUGAUUUAUGAGUUAGUGGCGGACGGGUGAGUAACGCGUGGAAAACCUGCCGUAUACUGGGGGAUAACACUUAGAAAUAGGUGCUAAUACCGCAUAAGCGCACAGCUUCGCAUGAAGUGGUGUGAAAAACUCUGGUGGUAUACGAUGGUUCCGCGUCUGAUUAGCUUGUUGGCGGGGUAAUGGCUCACCAAGGCGACGAUCAGUAGCCGGCCUGAGAGGGUGAACGGCCACAUUGGGACUGAGACACGGCCCAAACUCCUACGGGAGGCAGCAGUGGGGAAUAUUGCACAAUGGGGGAAACCCUGAUGCAGCGACGCCGCGUGAGUGAAGAAGUAUUUCGGUAUGUAAAGCUCUAUCAGCAGGGAAGAAAAUGACGGUACCUGAUUAAGAAGCCCCGGCUAACUACGUGCCAGCAGCCGCGGUAAUACGUAGGGGGCAAGCGUUAUCCGG
This 518-nucleotide ribosomal RNA is filed under the name uncultured bacterium. RNAcentral's name for it is "bacterial SSU rRNA". It matches the Rfam family "Bacterial small subunit ribosomal RNA", at positions 19 to 548 of the family's 1533-position model. The record is from RNAcentral.